Molecule: long non-coding RNA, 664 nt
Filed under: Olea europaea subsp. europaea
Lineage: Eukaryota; Viridiplantae; Streptophyta; Magnoliopsida; Lamiales; Oleaceae
Source: RNAcentral
CCGCAGUUCCUCUCUCUCUUUUCAACUUGCCUAUAUAUAACCCCACCACGGAGCCCAAUCUCGCCCACACAGUCUCCUCCAUUCCCUCUCUCUCUAAACACAUCCUAUCUUUUUCACGGAGGAGUUACAGAGCCUCUUUCUCUCUCUAUCUAAGAAUUUUGCAAUGGAGGCAAUGAAGAUGAAGAUGUUUGCAGUUGCAUUGAUGCUCAUCACGACGAUGACACUCACCGCCGUCAAAGGCGUCGCCGCCGCAGAUGCUCCUUCACCCAGCCCCACCUCCGACGCCCCAUUCUUUGUACCAACCUUCUUUGCCUCACUUACAGCCCUCGCUUUUGGUUUUGGUCUUCUCCUCUGAAUGCAAUAUUCUCAUGCAUGCUCGCCACUCGCCUUAAUUUCUUUUGUUCGUGUUACAGUAUUUUCCGGUAUCGUCCAAUAAUGUACGAAACAUGUUGCUUUUGAUCUUAUUUAACUUAAUUUUUAUUGUCUUGAAUCUUCUGGUGUAAGAUUUGUAACGUGUGGUGAUUUGCUUUUUUACCAUGGUUCGAGAUGAGGAUGGUAGACAUGUAUCUUUUGACUUGUUUAGUAUUUGAUUUUGAUUUUCUUUAAUUUCUUGUAUGUAUAUUUUAACAAAAUUAUAUCAAGGCCCGUUUGAGCCACGUUAACG